CGCCAGAGCGUGCUUGCACGCGGUGGCGCUCUGCCAUAGGCCGGCAAGACAGUAUGAGCACGGGGGCUGCCGGAAGGCAGGCCGGAAAGUGCGAAUACUGUCGGCGAUUGCGAGAGCACGAAGUGCGGAGCAAUCGGCUU
Molecule: small RNA, 140 nt
Filed under: uncultured Catenibacillus sp.
Lineage: Bacteria; Bacillati; Bacillota; Clostridia; Lachnospirales; Lachnospiraceae
Description: Clostridiales-1 RNA
Rfam family: Clostridiales-1 RNA
Source: RNAcentral